This 165-nucleotide ribosomal RNA is filed under the name uncultured soil bacterium. Its description in RNAcentral is "partial 16S ribosomal RNA". It matches the Rfam family "Bacterial small subunit ribosomal RNA", at positions 337 to 503 of the family's 1533-position model. The record is from RNAcentral.
CCCUACGGGAGGCAGCAGUGGGGAAUCCUGGACAAUGGGGGCAAGCCGGAUCCAGCCAGCCGCGGGGCAAGAAGGCCCCCGGGCGGUAAAGCCCUUUGGCGGGAGGAAGUAAAGCUGGCUAAUACCGAGGAUAAUGACGGUACUUCAGAGAAGCACAGCUAUUCG